Molecule: ribosomal RNA, 403 nt
Filed under: uncultured bacterium
Lineage: Bacteria
Description: partial 16S ribosomal RNA
Rfam family: Bacterial small subunit ribosomal RNA
Source: RNAcentral
AUUGAACGCUGGCGGCAGGCCUAACACAUGCAAGUCGAGCGAGCGGCGGACGGGUGAGUAAUGUAUGGGGACUGCCCGUUAGCGGGGGAAACCUCGUGGAAACGGUAGCUACUACCGCAUACUAUCGGAUAACCCAUAUGGGAUUAGCUAGUAGGUGAGGUAAUGGCUCACUGAGGCGACGAUCCCUGGCUGGUCUGAGAGGAUGAUCAGCCACACUGGGACUGAGAAACGGCCCAGACUCCUACGGAGGCAGCAGUGGGGAAUAUUUCACAAUGGGCGCAAGCCUGAUGCAGCCAUGCCGCGUGUAUGAAGAAGUCCCUAGGGUUGUAAAGUACUUUCAGUCGGGAGGCGUUACCGACAGAAGAAGCACCGGCUAACUCCGUGCCAGCAGCCGUGGUAAUUC